UGGGUAACCUGCCUCAAAGAGGGGAAUAGCCUCCCGAAAGGGAGAAUUAAUACCGCAUAAUAUGUUUAAGUCGCAUGACUUUAACAUCAAAGGAUCUUCUUUUAGAAAUUCCACUUUGAGAUGGACCCGCGGCGCAUUAGCUAGUUGGUGAGGUAACGGCUCACCAAGGCAACGAUGCGUAGCCGACCUGAGAGGGUGAUCGGCCACAUUGGAACCUGA
This 219-nucleotide ribosomal RNA is filed under the name uncultured bacterium. RNAcentral's name for it is "partial 16S ribosomal RNA". It matches the Rfam family "Bacterial small subunit ribosomal RNA", at positions 118 to 322 of the family's 1533-position model. The record is from RNAcentral.